RNAcentral lists this ribosomal RNA (484 nucleotides) under uncultured bacterium. RNAcentral's name for it is "partial 16S ribosomal RNA". It matches the Rfam family "Bacterial small subunit ribosomal RNA", at positions 30 to 507 of the family's 1533-position model. The record is from RNAcentral.
AUUGAACGCUGGCGGCAGGCCUAACACAUGCAAGUCGAGCGGAUGAAGGGAGCUUGCUCCUGUCUUCCGCGGCCGACGGGCGAGUAAUGCAUAGGAAUCUGCCUGGUAGUGGGGGAUAACGUCAGGACACGGGCGCUAAUACCGCACACGUCCUGAGGGUGAAAGUGGGGGAUCUUCGGACCUCACGCUAUUUGCUGAGACUAGGACGGAUUAGCUAGUUGGUAGGGUAAAGGCCUACCAAGGCGACGAUCCGUAACUGGCCUGAGAGGAUGAUCGGUCACACUGGAACUGAGACACGGUCCAGACUCCUACGGGAGGCAGCAGUGGGGAAUAUUGGACAAUGGGCGAAAGCCUGACCCAGCCACGCCGCGUGUGUGAAGAAGGUCUUCGGAUUGUAAAGCACUUUUAGUAGGGAGGAAGGGCAGUAAGUUAAUACCUUGCUGUUUUGACGUUACCAACUGAGAAAGCACCGGCUAACUUCGUG